This 419-nucleotide ribosomal RNA is filed under the name uncultured Prevotella sp. RNAcentral's name for it is "bacterial SSU rRNA". It matches the Rfam family "Bacterial small subunit ribosomal RNA", at positions 358 to 774 of the family's 1533-position model. The record is from RNAcentral. Lineage: Bacteria; Pseudomonadati; Bacteroidota; Bacteroidia; Bacteroidales; Prevotellaceae.
GGAAUAUUGGUCAAUGGUCGUAAGACUGAACCAGCCAAGUAGCGUGCAGGAUGACGGCCCUACGGGUUGUAAACUGCUUUUAUAGGGGGAUAAUAUGCGGGACGUGUCCUGUAUUGCAGGUACCCUAUGAAUAAGGACCGGCUAAUUCCGUGCCAGCAGCCGCGGUAAUACGGAAGGUCCGGGCGUUAUCCGGAUUUAUUGGGUUUAAAGGGAGCGCAGGCUGAUUAUUAAGCGUGACGUGAAAUGUAGCCGCUCAACGGCUGAACUGCGUCGCGAACUGGUAGUCUUGAGUGAGUUCGAUGUUGGCGGAAUUCGUGGUGUAGCGGUGAAAUGCUUAGAUAUCACGAAGAACUCCGAUUGCGAAGGCAGCCAACAAGGCCUUUACUGACGCUAAAGCUCGAAGGUGCGGGUAUCGAACA